AGAGUUUGAUCCUGGCUCAGGACGAACGCUGGCGGUGUGCUUCACACAUGCAAGUCGAGCGAAUGAAGUAGGUAGCUUGCUACUUAUGGAUUUAGCGGCGGACGGGUGAGUAAUAUAUAGGAAUCUGCCUUAGAGCGGGGAACAACAGACCGAAAGGUUUGCUAAUGCCCCAUAGGUAUGCAGUCUUCGGAUUGUAUAUUAAAGGAGUAAUCCACUCUAAGAUGAGCCUGUAUCCGAUUAGCUAGUUGGCGGGGUAAAGGCCCACCAAGGCUACGAUCGGUAGUUGGUCUGAGAGGAUGAUCAGCCACAAUGGGACUGAGACACGGCCCAUACUCCUACGGGAGGCAGCAGUGGGGAAUUUUACACAAUAGGGGAAACCCUGAUGUAGCGACACCGCGUGAACGAAGAAGCCUUUUGGGGUGUAAAGUUCUGUCGGCUGGAACGAAAAAAAUGACGGUACCAGCAAAGGAAGCAUCGGCUAACUACGUGCCAGCAGCCGCGGUAAGACGUAGGAUGCAAGCGUUGUCCGGAUUUAUUGGGCGUAAAGAGUUCGUAGGCGGUUAUUUAAGUCUGAUGUUAAAUACUGUGGCCCAACCACAGAACUGCAUUGGAUACUGGAUGACUUGAGUGCGGUAGAGGCAAGUGGAAUUCCCAGUGUAGCGGUGAAAUGCGUAGA
This 676-nucleotide ribosomal RNA is filed under the name uncultured bacterium. RNAcentral describes it as "bacterial SSU rRNA". It matches the Rfam family "Bacterial small subunit ribosomal RNA", at positions 8 to 694 of the family's 1533-position model. The record is from RNAcentral.